AAUAACUAAAAUACAAAUAAUAUUUAAUAUAGCAUACAACUAUCCAAAUAAAAAUUCACCCAGAUGCAAUUAAUACAGUCAUCCAUUGUCAAAAGAACUUGAAAAUUAAUACAUUGAACUUGAGAGUUGGGGUAGUUGCAUAUUCAGGCAUUCCCAGAUUCUCAACACUCAACAUUUAGUAGCAGUCUAGGAACAUUGAUGACAAAACAAAGUAAACCCAUCUGAGACCUCAACUCAAAUUCCCAGCAAGCCAGCAGCAGUAAGAACAUCUCAGAUUCCUAGCAAGUCAGCAACAUUGUAAUCUGGGACCCUUAACUCCAAUGCCAGCAAGUCAGCAAGACAGCAACAUUGAUGGCAAUAACAAAGUAAACAUUUGUCGUAAUUAGAUAAAACUAUCGCUUAUAAAUAAACAAUAA
This 416-nucleotide long non-coding RNA is filed under the name Olea europaea (common olive). Its description in RNAcentral is "long non-coding RNA (OEUR_LNC008663)". Lineage: Eukaryota; Viridiplantae; Streptophyta; Magnoliopsida; Lamiales; Oleaceae. The record is from RNAcentral.